This 873-nucleotide ribosomal RNA is filed under the name Pectobacterium brasiliense. Its description in RNAcentral is "bacterial LSU rRNA". It matches the Rfam family "Bacterial large subunit ribosomal RNA", at positions 2076 to 2925 of the family's 2925-position model. The record is from RNAcentral. Lineage: Bacteria; Pseudomonadati; Pseudomonadota; Gammaproteobacteria; Enterobacterales; Pectobacteriaceae.
CAAGACGGAAAGACCCCGUGAACCUUUACUAUAGCUUGACACUGAACCUUGAGCCUUGAUGUGUAGGAUAGGUGGGAGGCUUUGAAGCGUGGACGCCAGUCUGCGUGGAGCCAACCUUGAAAUACCACCCUUUAAUGUUUGAUGUUCUAACGUGGACCCGUGAUCCGGGUUGCGGACAGUGUCUGGUGGGUAGUUUGACUGGGGCGGUCUCCUCCCAAAGCGUAACGGAGGAGCACGAAGGUUAGCUAAUCCUGGUCGGACAUCAGGAGGUUAGUGCAAAGGCAUAAGCUAGCUUGACUGCGAGAGUGACAGCUCGAGCAGGUGCGAAAGCAGGUCUUAGUGAUCCGGUGGUUCUGAAUGGAAGGGCCAUCGCUCAACGGAUAAAAGGUACUCCGGGGAUAACAGGCUGAUACCGCCCAAGAGUUCAUAUCGACGGCGGUGUUUGGCACCUCGAUGUCGGCUCAUCACAUCCUGGGGCUGAAGUAGGUCCCAAGGGUAUGGCUGUUCGCCAUUUAAAGUGGUACGCGAGCUGGGUUUAGAACGUCGUGAGACAGUUCGGUCCCUAUCUGCCGUGGGCGUUGGAAGAUUGAGAGGGGUUGCUCCUAGUACGAGAGGACCGGAGUGAACGCACCACUGGUGUACGGGUUGUGAUGCCAAUUGCAUUGCCCGGUAGCUAAGUGCGGAAGAGAUAACCGCUGAAAGCAUCUAAGCGGGAAACUUGCCUCGAGAUGAGUCUUCCCUGGGCACUAGAUGCCCCUGAAGGGCCGUUGAAGACGACGACGUAGAUAGGCUGGGUGUGUAAGCGUAGCGAUACGUUGAGCUAACCAGUACUAAUGACCCGAGAGGCUUAACCUUACAACACCGAAGGUGUUU